UUUACUUAUCUACGUACACUAAGUAAUUUAGUAUAUUAAUGGACUAGGUUUAAGUAUUGUAUAUUUAUAUGUAUAUAUGUACAUAUAUACAUAUGCAUGCAUACAUGUUAAAUAUAUAAUGUUAACUUAGUAAAUAAGCAACAAACCAUUAAUGGAUUCACAAUGGUAAUGUGAUGUAAUAAAUAAUAUGUAGGCGAAUAAAAUGGUAAAUACAUCUCCUAAUUAAUAAGAAAGAUAUAAUAAGAACUUAUAACCAAUGAUUAGCCUAAUAAGUAGUUUAGGAUAUCUAGCUAGCUUUAGAAGCGAGUGAUGUGACAUGUGAGCACGCGGGUAGUUAGGAUGUCAUAGAGUAUGUGAUUCAAUAGCAUAGUCUAAUGCUACCAAUGGUUGCAGGAUCAUGUUCGGAUUGGAGACUUUAAGUGGUUCUCCAAUGUAGAGUCCAAGUGACUAGAGUCCAAGGAGUGUUCGAGUUGGAGUCCAAUGCAGCCAAGGUACUUCGGUAUAGUCGAUGGGUCGGUAGCAGUGUGCUUGCGAUAUUAUGACUGAAGCUCGCCGCGACAGUUGUAAUUGUCGGACCACGGGUUGUCCACUAUUUUAUAGGUUUGGUAUGGCUUGUGACGUUUGUGUCACUUAUUCUUUGUUAAGCCAUUAUUGUUAUAGUGUUAAUAAGACUAAAACAGAUAGAUGUUAAAUGGCUCUUUGUUGUAAUUAACUUGUGAUAGAUGUAUAAGUUGUAAUUUCCGCUAUUCAGAUUUAUGUUUUCCGCUGCAUAGAUAGAUGUAUGUUAUACUCUGAUUAUCAGGUACAUGUUAUGGGGCAUGUGCCAUAUGUUGGCUGAGCGACA
Alnus glutinosa is the source of this 844-nucleotide long non-coding RNA. RefSeq lists it as uncharacterized. The transcript is spliced from 2 exons. Lineage: Eukaryota; Viridiplantae; Streptophyta; Magnoliopsida; Fagales; Betulaceae. The record is from RefSeq and is a predicted model, not a curated record.